UUGACUCCAGCUUCCUCCCAUUUAUGCUUCAUUUGUUUUGUUGUACUUUUUCGGUUUUCAAGACAUAUGGCCUUAAGUUUUUUGUCUUGACGCUUUGAUGUCUUCCUUGGUCUACCAGUACGCUUGGCUUUAAAAACCUUCCCACGCUGUUUGUACUUGGUCCAUAUCUUAGAUACAGCUGACUGUGAACAGCCCACAUCUUUGGCAACCAUGCGUGAAGAGUUACCUUCUUUAAGAAGUUUGACAAUCCUCUCUUUUGUUUCAAGAGACAUCUCUCUUGUUGGAGCCAUGGUUCUUGCCAAUCCACUUGGUCCAGCAGCCCUCCAAGGUGUGAUAACUGCGCUGUUUCUAACUGCAGACGAACGAGCAGAUCUAAUCUGAGGCAUGUGUCAAUUUAGGGAAAGGAAAUUGACUGGUGUUUCUGAAGGCCAAGAAGUUGCACUUUGGAAUGACUAUUAUUGUAUCAUGUUUGUGAUCUCAGUUUGUUCUACAGAAUAAAAUGUCUGAAUGAGUGCUCA
Molecule: long non-coding RNA, 518 nt
Organism: Neoarius graeffei (lesser salmon catfish)
Lineage: Eukaryota; Metazoa; Chordata; Actinopteri; Siluriformes; Ariidae
Exons: 2
Source: RefSeq, a predicted model, not a curated record